Nomascus leucogenys (northern white-cheeked gibbon) is the source of this 87-nucleotide microRNA precursor. Ensembl annotates it as microRNA 124-3. Its record names the gene MIR124-3. Lineage: Eukaryota; Metazoa; Chordata; Mammalia; Primates; Hylobatidae. The record is from Ensembl.
UGAGGGCCCCUCUGCGUGUUCACAGCGGACCUUGAUUUAAUGUCUAUACAAUUAAGGCACGCGGUGAAUGCCAAGAGAGGCGCCUCC